UACGUAGGGUGCAAGCGUUGUCCGGAAUUAUUGGGCGUAAAGAGCUCGUAGGCGGUUCGUCGCGUCGGCUGUGAAAUCCCGAGGCUCAACCUCGGGUCUGCAGUCGAUACGGGCGGACUGGAGUUCGGCAGGGGAGACUGGAAUUCCUGGUGUAGCGGUGGAAUGCGCAGAUAUCAGGAGGAACACCGGUGGCGAAGGCGGGAUCCUGGGCCAGUACUGACGCUGAGGAGCGAAAGCGUGGGGAGCAAACAGG
RNAcentral lists this ribosomal RNA (253 nucleotides) under uncultured bacterium. RNAcentral's name for it is "partial 16S ribosomal RNA". It matches the Rfam family "Bacterial small subunit ribosomal RNA", at positions 524 to 776 of the family's 1533-position model. The record is from RNAcentral.